Molecule: ribosomal RNA, 253 nt
Filed under: uncultured bacterium
Lineage: Bacteria
Description: partial 16S ribosomal RNA
Rfam family: Bacterial small subunit ribosomal RNA
Source: RNAcentral
GACGGAGGGUGCAAGCGUUGUUCGGAAUUACUGGGCGUAAAGGGCGCGUAGGCGGCCCUCUAAGUCAGACGUGAAAUCCCUCGGCUCAACCGGGGAACUGCGUCUGAGACUGGAAGGCUUGAAUUCGGGAGAGGGAUGUGGAAUUCCAGGUGUAGCGGUGAAAUGCGUAGAUAUCUGGAGGAACACCGGUGGCGAAGGCGGCAUCCUGGACCGAUAUUGACGCUGAUGCGCGAAAGCCAGGGGAGCAAACGGG